This 780-nucleotide long non-coding RNA is filed under the name Lathyrus oleraceus (garden pea). RNAcentral's name for it is "Pisum sativum (pea) long non-coding RNA (PSAT_LNC033256)". The record is from RNAcentral. Lineage: Eukaryota; Viridiplantae; Streptophyta; Magnoliopsida; Fabales; Fabaceae.
CAUUCCAUAUAUAAUGUUAAUUGCUAACAGAAUUUGUGGCUAAUCACAACAACUAAUCAUUCUUUCACAAUCAUAUUUCACAAAAAAAACCAUAACAGAAAAUCGGAAGCAAUCUCUCAUCUCUCUCAUUUUUUGCUCUAAACUUCCAUAAACAUUUUUGAUGAUCUUCACCAAGAUUCCAUGGAUUUUGUGCGAAUUUCCUGUUGAUUUACAAUGUGCAGGUACUACUGAGCUUCUGUUGAGCAAGAUCGAAGCAAGAUCGCAGCUAACUCUUGCUGUUGCAAAAUUCUGAAUAUCCAUAACAGUUGAUUGUUCUUGAGUAUUUGCGCAUCCUUGAGCUGGAACUCCUUCGCCUAUCACCUUGCACGAAGCUAUUUUCCAUCUGUUUCGCGAUUCGAAGCUCAAUCGCACGGUUCCGCCGGUACUGCACUCAAGAAGGUGAAAGAUUCGUUUAUCACCGUUUGUCAAAUUGAGUUAGGAAUUGUGUAGAACAUCUAUUGUAGAUUAGGCAUCAGCUUGUAGAAUUGAGAAUUGUUAGAGAUUGACCGAGAUAUUCGUAAUUUAAGUUUCGAAGCGUUUCUUUCUUUCGCUCGAUUCGCACUGCAUGUUAAUUGUUAGAGGAAAUAGCUUGUGUAUUCGUAUUCCUGAUGAGAAGCCGGUUCCAUCGGUGCAUAAUUUGUGGAUUUCCGUUGCGAUUGGCCAAAACCUAAAAUCCUGGGCGAAGACCAUUGAAGAAGGCGAUGAACUUCAUGAGCUUUCUGGGAAAAUGCUGUGUAGAUC